AUGAACGCUGGCGGCGUGCCUAAUACAUGCAAGUCGAGCGAACAGACGAGGAGCUUGCUCCUCUGACGUUAGCGGCGGACGGGUGAGUAACACGUGGAUAACCUACCUAUAAGACUGGGAUAACUUCGGGAAACCGGAGCUAAUACCGGAUAAUAUAUUGUACCGCAUGGUUCAAUAGUGAAAGACGGUUUUGCUGUCACUUAUAGAUGGAUCCGCGCCGCAUUAGCUAGUUGGUAAGGUAACGGCUUACCAAGGCAACGAUGCGUAGCCGACCUGAGAGGGUGAUCGGCCACACUGGAACUGAGACACGGUCCAGACUCCCACGGGAGGCAGCAGUAGGGAAUCUUCCGCAAUGGGCGAAAGCCUGACGGAGCAACGCCGCGUGAGUGAUGAAGGUCUUCGGAUCGUAAAACUCUGUUAUUAGGGAAGAACAAAUGUGUAGUAACUAUGCACGUCUUGACGGUACCUAAUCAGAAAGCCACGGCUAACUACGUG
Molecule: ribosomal RNA, 495 nt
Filed under: uncultured bacterium
Lineage: Bacteria
Description: partial 16S ribosomal RNA
Rfam family: Bacterial small subunit ribosomal RNA
Source: RNAcentral